This 287-nucleotide ribosomal RNA is filed under the name uncultured Pseudomonas sp. RNAcentral describes it as "partial 16S ribosomal RNA". It matches the Rfam family "Bacterial small subunit ribosomal RNA", at positions 1098 to 1382 of the family's 1533-position model. The record is from RNAcentral. Lineage: Bacteria; Pseudomonadati; Pseudomonadota; Gammaproteobacteria; Pseudomonadales; Pseudomonadaceae.
GACCCUUGUCCUUAGUUACCAGCACGUUAUGGUGGGCACUCUAAGGAGGACUGCCGGGUGGACAAACCGGAGGAAAGGUGGGGAUGACGUCAAGUCAUCAUGGCCCUUACGGCCUGGGCUACACACGUGCUACAAUGGUCGGUACAAAGGGUUGCCAAGCCGCGAGGUGGAGCUAAUCCCAUAAAACCGAUCGUAGUCCGGAUCGCAGUCUGCAACUCGACUGCGUGAAGUCGGAAUCGCUAGUAAUCGUGAAUCAGAAUGUCACGGUGAAUACGUUCCCGGGCCUU